UACGUAGGGGGCAAGCGUUAUCCGGAUUUACUGGGUGUAAAGGGAGCGUAGGCGGCCAUGCAAGUCAGAAGUGAAAGCCCGGGGCCCAACCGCGGGACUGCUUUUGAAACUGUAAGGCUUGAUUGCCGGAGAGGUAAGCGGAAUUCCUAGUGUAGCGGUGAAAUGCGUAGAUAUUAGGAGGAACACCAGUGGCGAAGGCGGCUUACUGGACGGCGAAUGACGCUGAGGCUCGAAAGCGUGGGGAGCAAACAGG
RNAcentral lists this ribosomal RNA (253 nucleotides) under uncultured bacterium. RNAcentral describes it as "partial 16S ribosomal RNA". It matches the Rfam family "Bacterial small subunit ribosomal RNA", at positions 524 to 776 of the family's 1533-position model. The record is from RNAcentral.